UACCAGCACCCCGAGUGGUCGGGGCGUUUAUUGGGCCUAAAGCAUCCGUAGCCGGUUCUACAAGUCUUCCGUUAAAUCCACCUGCUUAACAGAUGGGCUGCGGAAGAUACUAUGGAGCUAGGAGGCGGGAGAGGCAAGCGGUACUCGAUGGGUAGGGGUAAAAUCCGUUGAUCCAUUGAAGACCACCAGUGGCGAAGGCGGCUUGCCAGAACGCGCUCGACGGUGAGGGAUGAAAGCUGGGGGAGCAAACCGG
Molecule: ribosomal RNA, 253 nt
Filed under: uncultured bacterium
Lineage: Bacteria
Description: partial 16S ribosomal RNA
Rfam family: Archaeal small subunit ribosomal RNA
Source: RNAcentral